UAGUUUACUAUAAUUUCCUGAGACCGGCGCACGGGUGCGUAACACGUAUGCAACUUACCCUUUACUGGGGCAUAGCUCAGAGAAAUCUGAAUUAACUCCCCAUAAUGAUAUUGAAUCGCAUGAUUUGAUAUCUAAAGCUCCGGCGGUAAAGGAUAGGCAUGCGGUGUAUUAGCUAGUUGGUGAGGUAAUGGCUCACCAAGGCUACGAUACAUAGGGGUUCUGAGAGGAUGAUCCCCCACACUGGUACUGAGACACGGACCAGACUCCUACGGGAGGCAGCAGUAGGGAAUAUUGGUCAAUGGACGCAAGUCUGAACCAGCCAUGCCGCGUGCAGGAUGACGGCCCUCUGGGUUGUAAACUGCUUUUAUAUGGGAAGAAACCCCGGGAUGCGUUCCGGGCUGACGGUACCAUACGAAUAAGGAUCGGCUAACUUCGUGCCAGCAGCCGCGGUAAGACGAAGGAUCCAAGCGUUGUCCGGAUUUACUGGGUUUAAAGGGUGCGUAGGCGGAUGCUUAAGCCAGUGGUGAAAUCUCUCAGCUCAACUGAGAAACUGCCAUUGGAACUGGGUAUCUUGAAUUCGAUUGAGGUAGAUGGAAUAUAACAUGUAGCGGUGAAAUGCUUAGAUAUGUUAUGGAACACCGAUUGCGAAGGCAGUCUACUAAGUCGACAUUGACGCUGAGGCACGAAAGCGUGGGUAGCG
This 700-nucleotide ribosomal RNA is filed under the name uncultured Bacteroidota bacterium. RNAcentral describes it as "bacterial SSU rRNA". It matches the Rfam family "Bacterial small subunit ribosomal RNA", at positions 76 to 770 of the family's 1533-position model. Lineage: Bacteria; Pseudomonadati; Bacteroidota. The record is from RNAcentral.